This is a long non-coding RNA of Vicia villosa (hairy vetch), 1471 nucleotides long. RefSeq lists it as uncharacterized. NCBI's taxonomy places the organism in Eukaryota, Viridiplantae, Streptophyta, Magnoliopsida, Fabales, Fabaceae. The record is from RefSeq and is a predicted model, not a curated record. The transcript has 4 exons.
AAAAGGGGGAUUAGGGAUUUACUUUCGUGACGAUUGAACUUCUUCGGCGAAACUCUCCCUCUCCCUCGCGAAAUCACAGACGUGAAACGGCGGCGGCAAUGCUCUCUUCUCCGGUCAAAUUCUGAUCGCCACCGUGAACGGCGCUACGAAUCAAUAGCAUCAACUCUCAUCAUCAGUUCCCUCGCCUUGCUCACUUUCAUCUUCUUCGUGGAUUCGCGACGGCGGCAGAGUCUCAUCCCUCUCCGGCAACGCUUCCGUGAACCAACCAACACAACUGCCUCUCUUCCGCCUCUCCGACUUCGUCUCUUAUCUCAUCUCUCCGAUUCGAGUUUCGUUCUUCGAUCGGAGUCUCUCUCAGAUUCGUUUCGUUUUCACAUCGAUCGAAUCUACGGAGAUGAUGAAGAUGUGCGAUGAAGAAUCAUGAAGUUACAGUGAUGAAGAUGAAGAACGGUGUGAGGCACUCUUGAAGCUCGUUGAAGAAUUUGAAGAUUGGAGGGGUGAGUCUAAAGAUGAAUCGAUGAAGAAUUGUGUGGUACUACUCAGAAGGUGAUGAUUUUGCAGUGAAUUGAAGAAUGAAAGAGUUGGAGGUGAUGAAGGGAGAUGAUUCUGAAUGUGAAGUGAGGAUGGUGAUGAAUGAAUGGAGAAUGAGUCGAGAGAUCAAUAAUGGUGAAGAUGGAGAGAUGUUGAAUGAUGAUGAAUGAAGAAUGAGAGAAUGGAGAAAAUGAUGAAGAUUGGAGGAGAAUGGUGGAUGAAGUGUGAAGAUUGAUUUGUGGAGUGAAAAAUGGAGAGGUCUUUGAAGAUGAAAGGAAGCAGGAUAUAUAUAGGGCUGUUUGAGAUAUGUUAUGUAAGGUACAGGGACUGUUUUAAACUGGUUUAUCUCUUUUGUACCGGUUUAAGAUGCAGGAUGUUGAAUGGAAUGAAUGCUGAAUGACUGUCUCUUGCGGUGCAGGCUUGUUUUAAGGGCUGAUUCUUAACUGUUGUGUAUGAUGGAUUGUUUGAAUGCUGCAGGGAGGAGUAGCUUAUUUCUGACCUGUCGAAACCGAACUGAUCGUGCGGACUUGAGCAGCUUUAUACACUCAUUUGAUGCACAGAAGGUUGGUUCAUGGCAGUGAACAUGGGGAAUGAUACAAGACUUGGGGCAUUGUUGCAAAUCUGUUUUUUGACAGCAUGGUGAAGAUGGAUUAUGGCAUGAAGGCUAUUUUGAUGAGGCUCUUAGGAUUUUAGGAAACUGAUGACUUUGUAUAGAUAUUUUUGUAUGAUUUUUAUAUGGCUUUGUUUAGGAAACAUAAUGAAGUGUAUGUGAAUUUUUCAGUUCUGUUUUGGAACAUUGGUUGGAUGGUGAAUUGAACGGUAAUCUCCAUGGUGUUUGGUGGUAUUGAUGAUGUAAUAGGAUGAUAACAUGUAACUGGAUUUGGCCAUGGAGUGUAGGGCUUUUUGGGAGUAGAAUGAAAUAACACUUCGUUUCCCUCCA